Molecule: ribosomal RNA, 253 nt
Filed under: uncultured bacterium
Lineage: Bacteria
Description: partial 16S ribosomal RNA
Rfam family: Bacterial small subunit ribosomal RNA
Source: RNAcentral
UACAGAGGGUGCAAGCGUUAAUCGGAAUUAUUGGGCGUAAAGCGCGUGUAGGCGGCCAGGUAGGUCCGCUGUGAAAACUCGAGGCUCAACCUCGAGACGUCGGCGGAAACCAUCUGGCUAGAGUCCGGAAGAGGAGAGUGGAAUUCCUGGUGUAGCGGUGAAAUUCGUAGAUAUCAGGAGGUACACCGGUGGCGAAGGCGGCCAUCUGGACGACAACUGACGCUGAGAUGCGAAAGCGUGGGGAGCAAACAGG